AGUGGCUGGGAGAGCCAGAUUCUUCCUAAAACCUCCAGAGGAAGUGAGGCCCUGCUGAUGCCUUGAUUUUGAACUUCUAGCUUCCAAAACGCACUAUAAGCUGAAACUAGAUGAAGUUUUUAUGAGCAAGUGCCUGAUGUAUGAGCUGCACAGAAAGUUCACCAAACCACCCAAAGCCAUUGCCAUAGGCAUCUGAACUGCAAGCCAGCACAAGAAGUCGAUGCUUUCAUACACUUUCCAAGAUGUCAGAACAAGGUUCCAAAUCAUAAUAAGAAUUCACUCCUUACCUAGAAGUAAAAAAAGAGGACACACUUUUGAACCGCUCACAUGACCACACCAUUCUGCGGGGACGUCCUUGUGUUGAGGGGAGGUCUGAAGUCCAUGGAAGAAGACGCAGUGGCUGCUGGAGCUCGUGCAGAGGAAGGGACCCUCAGAAGGACAGGUGAACUGUCGGUGGCAGGAAAAAUGGUGGGCACAUUUCCAGAAUGACAAAUGGGAGAAGCAAUCGUGACAUCUCCAGGUGGGGGAAGCAUAGGAGGAAGAGGUUGUUCUCUCAGGAAGUUGCCUCCUAGCCUCCAACGAGGCCUUUCCUAUCACUGCUCAUUCUCUUCUGUGUGUGGAUUGGAUACUGCGGUCACCCAGAGAAGCUGGUGCACACCAGGCACAUGAAGGGGCGAUCCUUGUCUCCUUCCGACUCAUGCGCGUGUCUUGAUGUUUAAACUCAGAAGGAUGUUUAAACUCGGUUGUCUAUGAGACAAAAUGGCUAGUUUUUGGAGGGUCUGGGGCAUUACAUUCUGCAGAUUAAGAUUUUUGCCCGAUAUUGGCCAAGUCAAGGAAAUAGAUGCUAAGGCCAAAUGCUUUGAAAAACCACAAACUCCUGUUUCUGUGGGAAAUGUUUGGCCUGUUGAAUCAAACUCAAUAAAGAACAGUAAAAUCUGUUAUUUCAAAAAUUUUUGCUUUUGUAGCUGGUUAGUUGCCUUUCUUUGGAAAACCCUGUACAAUUCCUACAUGAAAUGUAUUCCUAUUGGAAAGAGGUUUUGCCACAAUGAAUUUCAAACUCUAUACAACAAAUUGGUUUAUUCUACAGGAAUUUCAAUAAAAAAGGUUUUUUUGUCCCUUCGAAA
Long non-coding RNA from Homo sapiens (human), 1124 nucleotides. NCBI's taxonomy places the organism in Eukaryota, Metazoa, Chordata, Mammalia, Primates, Hominidae. The record is from Ensembl.